Bubalus bubalis (water buffalo) is the source of this 923-nucleotide long non-coding RNA. RefSeq lists it as uncharacterized. The transcript has 4 exons. NCBI's taxonomy places the organism in Eukaryota, Metazoa, Chordata, Mammalia, Artiodactyla, Bovidae. The record is from RefSeq and is a predicted model, not a curated record.
CUCGAUUUGAACCAAAUUAAUUUGAUAUCCAAAUGUGCUACUUUUUAACCAAGUGCUGUGCUAUGCUCAGUCACUCAGUCGUGUCUGACUCCGCAGUCCUUAGGACUGCAGCCCGCCAAGCUCCUCUAUCCAUGGGAUUUCUCAGGCAAGAAUACUGGAGUGGGUUGCCAUUUCUUCCUCCAAGGGAUCUUCCCAACCCACGGAUCAAACUCAAACUUCCUGUGUCUCCUGCACUGCAGGUGAAUUCUUAACCUGCUGAGUAAUUUGGGAAGCCCAACAAAGCAAGUAAACUAUAUAUUUCAACUUCUUCAGUUGCUGAAGUGGGAAGGGGUGAAUUGUAUUUUUAGCUGAGCAAACAUAAAAGGGAGCUGGAAAUGGUUUGAGUCCCAUAGCCAGUAAGGAAAAUGGAGAACUGGUGGCCAAUCAGUCUACAAAAUUGGCUGAAUUUCAAGAAGAAAAAUGGUGAUGAGAAAGGUUUUCAUAUUUAACAUUUUAAAAAUAAAAGUAUACUUUAAGUACAGGAGGAUAAGGAUAGGUAAGAUAAGGAAGUGAAGCUUACUUCCUACCUGAGCAAGGAGAUGAAAACAAAUUCAGAGUCCUUCAACCCAUCCUCACAGGGCCAGGGCAACAAGGAGGGCUGCACAGGGCAAUAGGAGAAGCAGGAAAUGGAGGGUUGGAAGAGUCACUUCAUAAGUACAAGCACCAUCCGUAUCAGGUCCCCCAGCAUACUGUACUGCUGGCAGGCAUUUAUCUGCUCAAGGGCACAUGGACCAGGGCCGACUUAUGGAACACCUUGGUGGAGGAAAUUUUUCUUCUAAUGACACCCUUGGUUUUCCUUCAGGGAGCCUACUCUCUCUCUCACUCCUAAGGGCAGGAGAUCCUGGUAAGGAAUAUGGAACUAAUAAGCCACCACCAACCAGAAG